This 301-nucleotide ribosomal RNA is filed under the name uncultured bacterium. RNAcentral describes it as "partial 16S ribosomal RNA". It matches the Rfam family "Bacterial small subunit ribosomal RNA", at positions 509 to 807 of the family's 1533-position model. The record is from RNAcentral.
CAGUAGCCGCGGUAAAACGUAGGUGGCAAGCGUUGUCUGGAAUUAUUGGGCGUAAAGGGCUCGCAGGCGGUUUCUUAAGUCUGAUGUGAAAGCCCCCGGCUCAACCGGGGAGGGUCAUUGGAAACUGGGAAACUUGAGUGCAGAAGGGGAGAGUGGAAUUCCACGUGUAGCGGUGAAAUGCGUAGAUAUAUGGAGGAACACCGGUGGCGAAAGCGGCUCUCUGGCUUGUAACUGACGCUGAGGCUCGAAAGCGUGGGGAGCAAACAGGAUUAGAUACCCCCGUAGUCCCUGUCUCUUAUAC